UCCCUGGUGGCCUAGUGGUUAAGGACUUGGCAUUGUCACUGCUGUGUUUCGGGUUCAAUCCCUGGCCCUGGAA
This 73-nucleotide transfer RNA is filed under the name Sus scrofa (pig). It matches the Rfam family "tRNA". From Rfam's summary of the family: Transfer RNA (tRNA) molecules are approximately 80 nucleotides in length. Lineage: Eukaryota; Metazoa; Chordata; Mammalia; Artiodactyla; Suidae. The record is from Rfam by way of RNAcentral.